This 207-nucleotide ribosomal RNA is filed under the name uncultured bacterium. Its description in RNAcentral is "partial 16S ribosomal RNA". It matches the Rfam family "Bacterial small subunit ribosomal RNA", at positions 568 to 774 of the family's 1533-position model. The record is from RNAcentral.
UGCGCAGGCGGUUAUGUAAGACAGGUGUGAAAUCCCGGGCUUAACCUGGGAACUGCAUUUGUGACUGCAUAGCUAGAGUACGGUAGAGGGGGAGUGGAAUUCCGCGUGUAGCAGUGAAAUGCGUAGAUAUGCGGAGGAACACCGAUGGCGAAGGCAAUCCCCUGGACCUGUACUGACGCUCAUGCACGAAAGCGUGGGGAGCAAACA